This 545-nucleotide ribosomal RNA is filed under the name uncultured Aspergillus. RNAcentral describes it as "eukaryotic LSU rRNA". The stretch from base 184 to 337 matches the Rfam family "5.8S ribosomal RNA". The record is from RNAcentral. Lineage: Eukaryota; Fungi; Ascomycota; Eurotiomycetes; Eurotiales; Aspergillaceae.
GUGGCUCGGUAGGCUCUGGGUCACCUCCCACCCGUGUCUAUCGUACCUUGUUGCUUCGGCGGGCCCGCCGUUUCGACGGCCGCCGGGGAGGCCCUGCGCCCCCGGGCCCGCGGCCGCCGAAGACCCCAACAUGAACGCUGUUCUGAAAGUAUGCAGUCUGAGUUGAUUAUCGUAAUCAGUUAAAACUUUCAACAACGGAUCUCUUGGUUCCGGCAUCGAUGAAGAACGCAGCGAAAUGCGAUAAGUAAUGUGAAUUGCAGAAUUCAGUGAAUCAUCGAGUCUUUGAACGCACAUUGCGCCCCCUGGUAUUCCGGGGGGCAUGCCUGUCCGAGCGUCAUUGCUGCCCUCAAGCACGGCUUGUGUGUUGGGCCCCCGUCCCCCUCUCCCGGGGGACGGGCCCGAAAGGCAGCGGCGGCACCGCGUCCGGUCCUCGAGCGUAUGGGGCUUUGUCACCUGCUCUGUAGGCCCGGCCGGCGCCAGCCGACACCCAACUUUAUUUUUCUAAGGUUGACCUCGGAUCAGGUAGGGAUACCCGCUGAACUUAA